AGGUGAAGGUGACAGGUGACAGGUGACGGUGACAGGUGACGGUGACAGGUGAAGGUGACAGGUGACGGUGACAGGUGACGGUGACAGGUGACGGUGACAGGUGACAGGUGACGGUGACAGGUGACGGUGACAGGUGAAGGUGACAGGUGACGGUGACAGGUGACGGUGACAGGUGAAGGUGACAGGUGACAGGUGA
This is a long non-coding RNA of Boleophthalmus pectinirostris (great blue-spotted mudskipper), 196 nucleotides long. RefSeq lists it as uncharacterized. Lineage: Eukaryota; Metazoa; Chordata; Actinopteri; Gobiiformes; Gobiidae. The transcript is spliced from 3 exons. The record is from RefSeq and is a predicted model, not a curated record.